This 5494-nucleotide long non-coding RNA is filed under the name Homo sapiens (human). RNAcentral's name for it is "non-protein coding lnc-ACYP1-1:1". Lineage: Eukaryota; Metazoa; Chordata; Mammalia; Primates; Hominidae. The record is from RNAcentral.
GGGGGUGGGGGUGCGGUCAGCCCAAGGUCACUUGACCCAGUCAGUGUCCGGCCAACUCUGCAGCUCGGUCCAGCCCUGCCCUUGGGGAGCCGGGGAGGGGCGGGAGAGGCUUUUCUGGAGCUCCUUCAAAGAAGAACUUGUACUUUUCUGAGAACGACGCUCCCAGACCUUGGGGUGUGCCCUUGUCUGGCAAAGGGCGGAGGCCCUGGCUGUGCCUCCGCGUGCUUCCGCCGCAGGAUGCCGGCGUCCGCCCGCCUGGCGGGAGCGGGGCUGCUGCUGGCCUUUCUCCGCGCGCUCGGCUGCGCUGGGCGGGCCCCAGGUAUGGCUGCACGCGCGCGCUCCUUGCUUGUCCUCGCCAAGGCUUUGGAACUUGCUGCCAACGUUUUUGCUACGCAGUAUCUUUCCGUGGUAGUUUUUGUGGCCAAUCUAAUUAUUUUGAUAUUAUAAUGUUUUACUCACGUGGUAAUUCUAGCCGUCUCUACUUAGGGCCCAGGAAUGACUCAGCCAAAUGUAAUGAUGAUAAAGUUAACUACCAGAUCGAAAAUAAUCAGUAUAACCUGGCUUCAACAGUAAAUGAUACUCUAUCUUGUUGACAUCAAAAGAAAGUUCAUUUUUCUUCUUCGCUUCAGUUCAUCUGUGUAAGCCGUUUGGAACAGGCAGUUCGCUUUUUCCCUGUAACUACUCAAUUCAUGCACAUGGAAAAUAAUGUAGACAGCAGUCAUCAGUGUUAAUACUUCAACAUGUCAUAUUACAGCUGUUACCCGUUACAAGGAAAUUCCUUGGUGGACCCUCCAGAUCAGUCUUUUUUUUUUUUUUAAUUCCUCGUUUUCAUCCCUAGUUGACUCUACCGCCUCUCCGUAUAUGCAGCUCCAGACGUUUCCCACUCCACUCAGGGUCCCGAUUAUCAACUCCCACAGCUUCCCUCAGCAGAAUUUACCGGCUUUCUUUUUCUCUUUCUCUCUCUCUCUGUCUCUCUCUCUUCUUCCUCCUCUCCCUCUCUCCUCUGUUUCUGUCUCUGUCUGUCUCCCUCUCUCCUCUCUCUCUCUCCUUCCCUCUCCUCUAUGAGAAAGAAGGGCGACUUUCCAUUGAGUUCCAUUGAGUUCUCUUGAAUUAGUCCUUUUCAGUACCCUCCGGGAAUUGACUCCAUCACUUUACCCCUGCAUUUUUGUUUUGUUUUGUUUUCUGUUUUGUUGGUUUUUGGGGUUUUUUAAAGUUGUUUGUUUUUUGUUUUUUGAGACGGAAUCUCGCCCUGUUUUGUUGCCCAGGCUGAAGUGCAGUGGCGCACUCUUAGCUCACUGCCACCUCUGCCUCCUGGGUUCAAGUGAUUCUCCUGCCUCAGCCUCCCGAGUAGCUGAGAUUACAGGCGUCUGCCACUACACCUGGCUAAUUUUUUGUAUUUUUAGUAGAGACAGAGUUUCACCAUGUUGGCCAGGCUGGUCUUGAACUCCUGACCCCAGGUGAUCCGCCUGUCUCAGCCUCCCAAAGUGCUGGGAUUACAAGCAUGAGCCACCGGGCCUGGCCUUUGUUUUUGAGACAGGGCCUCACUCUGUUGCCCAGGCUGAAGUGCAGUGGCACAAUCACUGCUCACUGGAGCCUCAACUUCCACAGCUCAAGUGAUCCUCCCACCUCAGCCUCCCGAGUAGCUGGGACUACAGGUGUGUGCCCCCCACACCCAGCUUACUUCUUUUUUUUUUUUCUGUAGAGACAGGGUCUCCCUUUGUUACCCAGGCUGGUCUCAAACCCCUGGAGUCAAAAGAGAUCCUCCCGCCUCAGUCUCACAAAGUACUGAGAUUAUAGACGUGAGAGACGGCACCCUGUCUGCAUCUUGUUAACUUCAAGUUAUACCUCUCCAUAAACUCUGUCUCUUUGGUUUUAACAUAUACUCAACUUUCCCCUGCAAAACAAACCUUACUUCCCUUGACCUAACUUUCAUAUUACAGUCCCAUUCAUUUCUCCUCUUCUCCACAAGACUUCUUAAUGGAAAUCUCCACAUUUGCUGCCCACAUAUCCUCAUCUCCCCGUCAUUGUCCAGUUCAUUGUGGCCUGUCUUCUACUUUCUCCACUUUAUUUAACUACAAAGCUACCAGUGACUUUCCAAAGACAAAAGCUUCAUUUUUUCAGCCUACUCAUGUGACAUUACUGAUUAUCCACCCACUUAGAAUGCUCUUCUCAGUUCUCCUGUGCCCUCUUGGUUUCUUCUUUCAUGUUCUUGCUCCAUCUUCUUCCAAGUCUGGCAUUUAUCUUUUCCCCAUCUACUCCCUAAAUUUAAGUGUUUUCUGAAGCCCUCUUAUUUCAUAUAUAUGUGUGUGUGUGUGUGUGUGUGUGUGUGUGUGUGUGUGUGUGUGUAGUUCCAGACAUUCUCUUCUUUAAUGAUUUCAACCAAAUGCUGAAAUUUCAGGUUUCACCUGUGUUUAAAUGACAGCCAGCUUAGCUUUAGUCUUUCUCAUUAGUUACAGACUCAAAUUUCAGGACUGCCCAUUUGACACCUCCACAAGAUUGUUCCUUAGGAACCUCAAAUUCUGUAAGACAACAUAAACUCUGAUCCUCUCCCAUUCUCAAAUCUGCCUCUCCAGUGUGCCCUUGCAUGCUCACAGCAUCAGUCUUCCAUGCUUCCCUCUUUGUUGCCUCUUCCUUCUAACUAAUCACAAGUUUUAUUGAGUUUUCUUCCUUUUUUUCUUUGAGACAGUCUUGCUCUGUCAUCCAGAUGGGGGUGGAGUGGCGCGAUCUCAGCUCACUGCAACCUCUGCCUCUCAGGUUCAAGCAAUCCUCCUGCCUUGGCCUCCCUAGUAGCUGGAAGUACAGGUGUGCACCACCACGCCCAACUAAUUUCUGUAUUUUUAGUAGAGAUGGGGUUUCAUCAGUCUCAAACUCCUGACCUCAGGUGAUCCACCUGCCUUAGCCUCCCAAAGUGCUGGGAUUACAAACGUGAGCCAUCACGCCUGGCCUAUUGAGUUUACUUCUGCAAUGUCUCUCAUAUAUGACUCUUCCUUUACAUUUCUGCUGCCCCAGGUGAGUUUUUCCUCACUUCUCCUUGGGAUGGCAUAGCCCUCCUAACUUCUGCUCUUGCCUUCAAUAUCUGCUCUUCAAACCCAUCCUUCAUGCUGCAGGCAAAAUAAUCAGUCUAAAUAUUUCUCCACCCCCCCCCAGCUUUAUUAAAAUAUAAUUGACAAGCAAAAAUUAUAUCUAUAUUUGCAGUGUACAAAGUGAUGUUUUGAUAAUGUAUGCAUUGUGCAGUGAUUAAAUCAAGCUAAUUACUAAAUGCUUCUGAUCCUACCAUUUCCCUCCCCAGUAGCUUCUUCUUUACCUAUAGAAUAAAGUUGAAAUGCAUAAUUUAGCAUGGCAUCUCUACCUCCCAGAUUAGGUCCAGCCUACCUUUUCAGUUUUGCCUCCCCUUAAUAAGCCACAGAGUUCAACCCAGUGAGUCUCAUCCCUGACUGUGUGUUAAGACUACUUGGAAAGCAAUAUCUAGGGGUGAGGCCUGAGGAUUAACAUUUUUAAAGCUUCCCCAAAGAUCCUGAUGCACAAGCAGGGUAGCAAACCCCUGGUCUAGCCACAACUGGCUACUUGUACUUCUUCAUCUCCAUGGUACUACAUUACUCUAAGCUCCACAUACUGGGAGCUGGUAGAGCAUAGCAUUCAUGGGGAUUGACUCUGGAACCAAAUCCCAGCUCCAUCACUUACUGGUUGUGUGACCUUGGAUUAAAUGCUGUUUCCUCCAAGAACUCUUUCCCUGUCUUCCCAAUCAGAAUUAAUUUGUUUGCUCCUUUGUAAUAUUUUCUGUCCUUGUUAUAGCACAGGGCUGGUUCCUGAUGAGCUCUCAAUGGAUUUUCAUGGAAUUAAAUUAUCAUGCCAUAUAUUUUAUUGUCAUUAUUUGCAUGCAUUUGUGCCCCUACACUAAAUUAAAAACUCUUUGAGGGCAAAGAUUUUAUAUCAUUCAUCUUUGUAUAUCCUAGAGUGCCCCAUUCGUAUUAGACACUCAGUAAGUUUUGAAUUCUAUAAACUAUUUUUUAAAUGAAUUUUAGAGAAAGAAAUACCAUUAGCAAGAUACUCUAUUUAGAGUUAUUUUCAAAUAUUGCCAAGUACAACAUUCAAUCCAGCUUGUUCACCACCAACCCCCCACCUCUCAGCACUAAGGUUGUAUGAUUCUCUAGGAUAUGGAUCCUCACUCUAGCGGGGAACUAGCAGAAUGAUGAAUUUCCGUGCCUACUGUCACAAACCCAUAUCUCAUUGUCAAGUCUGCCAACCUGGCAUAUUCACAUAAGGAGUCUUUACGUUAUGAAGAGGUGUAAUGUAUACAGUCAAUCCACAGAGGAUCAAUAAACACCACAGUUUUCCUUCACACACAUGAAUCAUAAGGGUAGCUGGAUUCAAAUGUUUACACAUCAACUCUAAUUUUAACCAUCUUCAUCCACAUCCCCCUUGACAAUUCCCUGUUCCCAAAAUAAAUUCGUGUAGUUUGGCCAUUUGGCUUAGAUUGACUGACUCAACUGUAAUUCUGGAGCCAUGAGUUAUUUUGCUUGUGCUCUUGCUUUAUUUGUGUAGUUAGCUGGUUAUUUGUUCAAGCAUUAUUUGACAUUUUCUUAGUAAAGGAGACCGGUGAGUAGCUUCCAGAAGCCCAGAAGCAGACAUAACCUCCAUUGGGACCUCCUGUGCACUUAUGCCCCGUAAUCCCCUAUUCCAGAUUGUUAUGACCCAAACUUUAAGGAGAACUGAAUGAAAAAGGACAGAAAGGUUAAAUGUAUCCUACUCAACAUAUUUAUGAUGUUUAUUUUUUUAUUUAUUAAUUUAUUUAUUUGAGUCAGAGUCUCCCUCUGUUGCCCAGGCUGGAGUGCAGUGGGGCAAUCUCGGCUCACUGCAGCCUCCACCUCCCAGGUUCAAGCGAUUCUCCUGCCUCAGCCUCCCGAGUAGCUGGGAUUACAGGCGCCCGCCACCAUGCCCGGCCAAUUUUUGUAUUUUUGGUAGAAACGGGGUUUCACCAUGUUGGCCAGGCUGCUCUCGAACUCCUGACCUCAAGUGAUUCGCCCGUGUCGGCCUCCCAAAGUGCUGAGAUUACAAGCUAUUUAUGAUGUUUAAUGUGUGCUGUUUGUCUCUCACCUCCAGAAUUAAGCUCCUCAGGACAGGGAUCCUGUUUUGUUCACUGAUGUUUGCCUGGUCACCUAGAACAGGUGCCUGGCACACAGUAGCUGUCAGUCAGUAUUUAAUUGAAUGAUUGAAUGUAUCCCCAUGUACUUCUUCGUCUAUGCCUUUCUCCUCAUGAGAAAAUGAGAAGAGGGUUGCGCUUGUUGACUGAGAUGCGAUGAGGGCUAGGUUUGUGGAGGCCCAGCCGAGUUCCUGGACAGAUCCCCAACCCAAAGCUUUUGGGUUGCCGGACAACCGCGUCCUGAAAUCCCACCUUCUGGGCGGGCCCGGGCCGAGGCGCCGUCUCUGAUUGGUCAGCUGGAGGUGAUGGGCAUGAGCGACAGCGAAGGAGCAGCUACACACUAAACUUCCGGGC